Molecule: transfer RNA, 76 nt
Filed under: Gemmata massiliana
Lineage: Bacteria; Pseudomonadati; Planctomycetota; Planctomycetia; Gemmatales; Gemmataceae
Also listed under: 1 other name
Rfam family: tRNA
About the family: Transfer RNA (tRNA) molecules are approximately 80 nucleotides in length.
Source: RNAcentral
GGGCAGUUAGCUCAGUUGGUAGAGCGAGCGACUGAAAAUCGCUAGGUCCCCGGUUCAACCCCGGGACUGCCCACUA